This 471-nucleotide ribosomal RNA is filed under the name Triticum aestivum (bread wheat). RNAcentral describes it as "partial small subunit ribosomal RNA". Lineage: Eukaryota; Viridiplantae; Streptophyta; Magnoliopsida; Poales; Poaceae. The record is from RNAcentral.
AUGGCUCGCAAGAAGGUGGCUCUCCGGUACAUCCGUAAUGACUCGGCGCGGCAAAACACCUUGAAGAAACGCAGCAAGAACCUGAUGAAGAAGGCCGGUGAGGUGGCCACCUUGUGCAACGCCAAGGCCUGCGUGCUGGUGUAUGGCGAGGGCGGAACGGUGCCGGAGGUGUUCCCAUCCCAUGCUGAGGCGGUGGCUAUCCUGAAUAGGUUUAAGAGCAUGCCAGAGGUGGCGCGGCUAAAGAAGACGAUGGACCAGGAAAGUGUCCUUACUCAGCGCGUCGCAAAGCUCCGAGACCAGGUCCAGAAGACUAGGUGCGAGCGCCAAGACCGUGAGACCAAGUUUCUCCUGCAUGACGCCAUGGUCAGCGGCCGCCUCCCUGGAAACAUCGAGGAGCUCACAACCAUGGGUUGGAAGUUGGAGUUAAUGCUCAAGAGCCUAGGCAAACGCAUCGCAAAAAUGAGCAGGUAG